This is a non-coding RNA of Oryza glaberrima (African rice), 205 nucleotides long. The record is from Rfam. Lineage: Eukaryota; Viridiplantae; Streptophyta; Magnoliopsida; Poales; Poaceae.
AAUGUUUGACACCAUUGAUUUUUUAGCACAUGUUUGACCGUUUGUCUUAUUCAAAAAAUUUAAGCAAUUAUUAAUUCUUUUCCUAUCAUUUGAUUCGUUGUUAAAUAUAUUUUUAUGUAGGCAUAUAAUUUUACAUAUUUCACAAUAGUUUUUAAAUAAGACGAACGGUCAAACAUGUGCUAAAAAGUCAACGGUGUCAAACAUU